This 215-nucleotide ribosomal RNA is filed under the name Campeiostachys nutans. Its description in RNAcentral is "Elymus nutans partial small subunit ribosomal RNA". The stretch from base 46 to 215 matches the Rfam family "Eukaryotic small subunit ribosomal RNA", at positions 693 to 864 of the family's 1831-position model. The record is from RNAcentral. Lineage: Eukaryota; Viridiplantae; Streptophyta; Magnoliopsida; Poales; Poaceae.
GGACCAUCACGUUGGUCGUGCCUAGGUACGUACUGGCAUCGUUGGUUUCUCCCUUCUGACGAACCAUGCUGUCAUUUAUUUGGGGUUGUGGGGAAUCAGGACUGUUACUUUGAAAAAAUUAGAGUGUUUAAAGCAGGCUCACGCUUGAAUACAUUAGCAUGGAAUAAUGAAAUAGGACGUUUGAUUCUAUUUUGUUGGUUUCUAGGAUUGACGUA